This is a non-coding RNA of Aegilops tauschii subsp. strangulata, 2269 nucleotides long. The record is from RefSeq and is a predicted model, not a curated record. Lineage: Eukaryota; Viridiplantae; Streptophyta; Magnoliopsida; Poales; Poaceae.
CCUUUAUAACAAAAACCUUAUUUUGUGCUAGGGCACCACAACGCUUGCUAGUGCCGUAAUAAUUUUCAUGGUAAUUUGCAAGCCAUCCCUGAAAACCUUUCUUUAGAAAGAUAGGAGUUGCCCCUUCCCCAUUUCGUAAAAUGAAGCCAAACUAUCGUAAUAAACGCUGGGAGGAAAGCUCGGAAGCUCCUUCAGAUUUCCAGUUUAAAGAAGAACAAGGACCAACAGUCACAAACUACUUAGACAAUUGCAUUCUUCUUCAUCAGGGUGAAGGCAACAUGCGGCCUAAUUUCUAUGCGUCUCCUCUAGAAACUGUCGCUGAGCCAUGUCGGAUGAGAGGUUCACCGAUCAAUCCGCAGCAAUUCGCACUUAGCUUGUCAAGUAGUCGUACGUUCUUGUCCACCAACUAUCCGAUUGUGAUUGCGAGGACUUGCAGCAGAGAUGCCUAACCUCCUUGCUGUUGACCAGUGCUUUUACUGAAAAUGAGUCCCGUUAACAUUUCCAAAUAUCCCCCAAGGCUGCAGGACGAAGAAUGUUCAGAACAUGAGCCAAAACUUGAUUUUUAAGCAAGGAAAACCAACAGGUUAGAAAUUAGAACCAAUUUGGUUACCAAAAUGCUGGGAAACCAUACCUCAAACCUGUUGAGCUACAAAUACAAUACAUAUUGAAAAAUAGGUGUUGAGCAAAUUUUCUGUUGUUAACAAAACAAGCAGAUGGGAACAUCCUCGUGAACCUAUAUGUCAUAAAUCAUAAUAUCGUGUUCGUGCACAGUUCCUAUUUUUCCGCGGGUGACGAUUUUUAUUUGUACCAGCCAACACAUUACUAUUGGUAGUACAUCAAAGAAUGAAGCUACUCCUUUGAAAGAGAAGAAUAUUGAGAAGGUUACGGAACCAAGAAGUUUUUCUCUCCGAGUACUAGAAGAGAUCACAAAUGAUUUCUCCAAGGAGCGAGCAAUUGGUCAAGGCGCGUAUGCAAAAGUUUACUUGGGGAAGCUUGAAAAUGGAGAAGAAAUUGCCGUGAAGUUGCUGCAUGAUAACACGCUAUCAAUUAACGAUGAGCUAUUCCAAAAUGAGUUUGAUAACCUCAGGAAGCUCAACCAUCCGAACAUUGUACGGUUUGUUGGCUACUGUUAUGAAACACAACGUCAACAUUUGGAGUUCCACGGUAGAACAGUUUUUGGUGGAACAACAUAUAGAGUGCUCUGUUUCGAGUAUAUGCGCAUGGGGAGCCUUCAAAGACAUCUUUCUGACGAAUCUUGUGGACUUGACUGGCAAAGUCGUUACGAAAUUAUCAAGGGGACAUGUGAGGGUUUGAAGUACCUACACGAAGGAUUAAAAGAAUCACUUUACCAUUUGGGCCUAAAUCCCGACAAUAUACUGCUAGAUGAGAAUAUGAUUCCAAAACUUAUUGAUUUUGGUUCGGCCAAGAUCUUUGAUGAAGAACUAACCAGGGUCACGCAGAGUCGUUGGGGAACAAUGGGAUACAUGCCGCCCGAAUACUUAUUCAAUGGCCACGUCUCGAAGAAGUUUGACAUAUUCAGCUUGGGUGUUAUAAUGACAAAGAUAAUUGCAGGGCCUGAGGGUCGCGUUAGAAGUGCUGAAAUGCCUUAUCAAGAGUUUCUUGAUCAACUCUACACUUUGACACACAGGUACAUGAAAACUGGAGGAACAGGCUGGAACCAACGUGUACUUCUUCGCAGACACUAGAUGCAUACUGCGAGCAAGUGAUUAUAUGCACUCAGAUAGCACUGAGCUGCGUGGAGGAGCACAGGGACAAAAGGCCCAGUAUAGUCGACAUUAUUGACAUACUCUAUGCGACUGAAAGUAUGAUUGAGGAGGCUAGACGUCCGUGAUCGUGGAGCUGUGCCGCCUGCUGGAGGGGGAGCUCGGGAACGCGGACCAAACCGAAAGUGUAGCGGCUACUACUUUGUGGAUGUGCGGAUAUCGGCCUCCCCGGUGUGUUAUGCCGGCGCCGCCUUCGUCUUUCUAAUCGGGCUCUUUGUGGAUCAUCACUGCUCCUACUUCUACAAAAAGGCCAGCUCUGCCAACAACGUACGGAUCACCGCUUAUCAUCUACGUACGCCGGCCGUCUUCACCGCCGGCAUGGCGCUUCCUAUGAAUGUCUUAUAUGCACGCUUGGUUAGCUUGCCUUAUGCUUUGUCUUUAUUAUUUUCGCACAUUUGGCCUAUAAUUUUUUUGAAAAGGUUAUCGUCAUAACCGUUGAAACUUAAUCUAAAUUCCGCUACACUGCUGUAUGCGGCACGGUCUUA